AAUCAAGGGUCCGUAACUAAGUACAAAAAAAUGCACCAGUGACGAUGAAUGUUGUAUGAUAUAACCUAUAUCUACCUAUUUCGGUACUACUUUCUGCAUAUAGAGUGCAAACAAUAUAAGCGUGAAACUUUAGUAACACUUCUAGAAUGACUGCAUGAAGAGAUUCAUCUUUACACUUGAUCGAUCGCGUUGUCAAUCAUCCAUUUGAAUCCACCUUAACAGCCAUCAGUAUUUAAGCGGCUUUUCGGAGUUCUCUCAGCAAUUUGUGCCUAACCAUCUUGGAACCAAGUUUGUUAAAAGUUCAUCUCAAGUCAACGAUAAAGGAUAACAAUGAAAACCCUUCUCGUGUUUUUGAUCUUGGCUGUGAUUGCAGUGAACGCAUAUCGUAUUCAAGACGACAUGGCCCCGGAAUUGGACCGAAAAGAGUACCUAUACGACGAGAUGGCUCCGGAAUUAGAGCGGCGCGCAUGCAAAAAGAAAUAUCAAAAAUGUACAAGAGACAGCCAGUGCUGUGACCAGAAAGAUUGGAGUGGCAGAAAAUUGCGAUGUCUUACACAAUGUGACGAAGGAGGAUGUCUGAAAUACAAGCAAUGUCUGUUCUAUUCUGGAAUACAGAAAAAAUAAUACCAAUAGUGAAAUACGCCGAAUCGAAAUAUGGCAACCAGUUUGAAUAACUGAUAAUAGUGAGUGUGAAACAAUUAGCAUUUGAAGCAAGGAAAGUUCUGAAAUAAAUUUUCUCAAAUUA
Molecule: long non-coding RNA, 745 nt
Organism: Actinia tenebrosa (Australian red waratah sea anemone)
Lineage: Eukaryota; Metazoa; Cnidaria; Anthozoa; Actiniaria; Actiniidae
Source: RefSeq, a predicted model, not a curated record